Molecule: transfer RNA, 75 nt
Filed under: Sphingomonas sp. 28-66-16
Lineage: Bacteria; Pseudomonadati; Pseudomonadota; Alphaproteobacteria; Sphingomonadales; Sphingomonadaceae
Description: tRNA-Asn
Rfam family: tRNA
About the family: Transfer RNA (tRNA) molecules are approximately 80 nucleotides in length. Their secondary structure includes four short double-helical elements and three loops (D, anti-codon, and T loops).
Source: RNAcentral
UCCCCGGUAGCUCAGCGGUAGAGCAAUCGGCUGUUAACCGAUCGGUCGGCGGUUCGAAUCCGUCCCGGGGAGCCA